UACGGAGGGUGCGAGCGUUGUUCGGAAUUAUUGGGCGUAAAGCGCGUGUAGGCGGCUCCUUAAGUCUGAUGUGAAAGCCCCGGGCUCAACCUGGGAAGUGCAUUGGAAACUGGGGAACUUGAAUACGGGAGAGGGUAGUGGAAUUCCCGGUGUAGAGGUGAAAUUCGUAGAGAUCGGGAGGAACACCAGUGGCGAAGGCGACUAUCUGGCUGACAACUGACGCUGAGACUCGAAAGCAUGGGGAGCAAACAGG
Molecule: ribosomal RNA, 253 nt
Filed under: uncultured bacterium
Lineage: Bacteria
Description: partial 16S ribosomal RNA
Rfam family: Bacterial small subunit ribosomal RNA
Source: RNAcentral